RNAcentral lists this long non-coding RNA (368 nucleotides) under Mytilus galloprovincialis (Mediterranean mussel). The record is from RNAcentral. Lineage: Eukaryota; Metazoa; Mollusca; Bivalvia; Mytilida; Mytilidae.
CAAUGUAGUUACGGCCCUGAAACUAAUAAAAGAUAACAAGGGUUUUAUAUUGUUUACAAAUGUCUUAUUAUUCUUAUUUUAUCUUGAUUCAUUUUGAGAACUCAAAUUGUAUCAAUGACAUACUGCACAUUUAAAGAUUUUUGAAAACUGGGAGUUAGCCGGCAAUUGUUUCAUGGUGCUUAAAACGGAUAAAUAAGAGGGUUCCGAAAUUCCAACAAUACAAAACAUGACAAGUGAACUUUCUUAAUUUAUUAUCAGUAGCAGGAAAAUGACAGAAGAAUUUAAGCCUUCCCUUUCGUGUUAAAGUCUGUCACAGUUUUCUUUUCGUUAUAUAGGUGAUUUUUUUUAAAUGAAUUUUGACUAAAUAU